This 1057-nucleotide long non-coding RNA is filed under the name Fukomys damarensis (Damara mole-rat). Its description in RNAcentral is "lncRNA (ENSFDAG00000032574.1)". The record is from RNAcentral. Lineage: Eukaryota; Metazoa; Chordata; Mammalia; Rodentia; Bathyergidae.
CCCCAGAGGGUUGAAGUCCAGACAGCCUUACACUUCUGUGUGCAGGGAGAGAGCGCUCAUGCAGCCCAAGACCCAGGGGUCUUCGCCCAGUCCUGCCUCCAGACACCCAGGGCUGUGUGCGUCCUUGGAGGACCCGUGGAGCUGUCCUAGAGCUGCCCACUGACCUCCAAGGUGUCCAUGUGCUGGGGCGCUGGCCACGCCCAAACCUCCAACCGACACCCACACAGAGGUGUGGAUGCCUCUGUGUGAACAGAGCCCCCCUCUUUCCCCGAGGGAUACUUAUAGGGAUAGGGAUGGCGCGAGGAAAGCCGCAGGCCACAGGCACCCUGCCCACAGGUUUGGCGCAGCCUGGCCCUGCCCUGCCCUGCCGGCCUCUUGUUGCUGGUCAGCCUAGUCCCCCUGCUUUGCAUUGUGUCUCUGACCCACUCCUGCCCUGCAGCGUCCCAGAUCCAGUUCUGAUGCCCUUGGUGGCCGCCCGGCCCAGGGACUCACUUGCUGGGCUCAGUGCCUUCCCACCUCCCACGCCCCUGUGACUGUGGCUGCCAUUCCCAGCCACCGGUCCCUCUGCCCAGAGCCUGGCAGGCACAGACCUGCACAGUGAGUCAGGGAAGCCUGCUCCGCCCCGUCCUCCACAGCGUCCCAGAGGCACAGCUUCCUCCAGCCGCUCCAUCGCCUUACGGUGCCUUACACCCAUGCGCAGGGCUGCUCAGUGGCAACACCGCCAGCCAGCCUCUGCUGGGCCGGAUGUCCGUCAGAGGGAUAUCAGCACAGUCUCUGCAGAGGCAGGAGGGCGCCCCAUGGGCCUGGGUGUGAGAGAAAUUCAAGCAUGGCUGAGCCAGGUGCUCCUCACACACAUCUCCUAGCAGGCUAGCGGAUACUCAGAAGUUUGAGCAUGCUCACUCUUGUGCGUUGAGACUGGCUUAGAGACAGCUGAAGGACAUCCCGUUCCUCCUAUCCGCUUCCUCCAUCGCUCGCCCAAAAGAUCAACCAAUCAUGUUAUGUUACGUAUCACUGUCCCGCCCCUUGCUCCUUGACUAUAUAAACAAUUGCUCCGCCU